UAACUGAAUUUUGAAUCUAGAUUCGACAAUUUUCAUUUAUUUAGUUAUUUAACUCAGUUUCAGUUCCUGAACAGCCAGAAUUCAGGUUCUGUCAAUGUCAAUUUAUUCGCAUUCACGUCCUCCAGUUAUGUCUCUGACACUACAUACCCGCCUUUUUUUAAUUUAGUUCGUUAUAGUGAAUUUAGUUUAACUUUUCACCGACAUUCCCUGAAACAUAGAUUGAAGAAAAACUAAGCAAUAAAAAAGCAGGAUUUCCGUUUUAUUUUUUCGCAAAUUUUCAUUUCUGCUGGUCUAUUCGACAAUCUGUUUUCAAUCGGUUACACAUUUGCAGUGCCUGUUUUGAUUAAAUCAUUGAAAUUUUGCGCACUACGGUACAACCAAAUACAAACAAUAAUUACCCCUAGGUCAAAUACAAACGAAUCACCAGCGUUUGGUUCAACAAAUCAACAGAAUAGCCUAGCCUGUGGCAAAACUGAGUUACCGGUAGUGACACCUGCCAAUGAAAAAUGAAACCAAGAAAAGGAGGACUCUUCCGAAAAUUUUCCUAUCGGCAGUAGUGAUUUGCAACGAUUUUUUUCGUUUAUUCCAAAAUAGUACAAAUAGAUAUCAGCAAUAAAAGUACACUCGGAGUAGAAGAAAAUCGAUUUCAAAGUGAUUAUUACUACUUUUUUUAAGUGUAAACCAGGGAUGCCAGGUCAUUUUUUCAAAAAUCUGUUUCUGACUCAAAAAUCUAUCUGGAUUUGUCUGGGUCCAACUAUACACAAGUAAAUUUUGACCGGGCUUCAUUUUCGGUGUCUCACCCCCUAUCGUAUAGAGGCCAAAACCGAUCUGGUGAGAUCUGACAAAAUCUUGGAAAAUUUGUAAAAUUUGGCAAAAGAUUUUAUUUGUUAGAGUGUCUGGCGAAGCGAGAAAAGAUAACCAACCUGGCAACGGCAACGCUGGUGUAAACCUAGGACAGGACCAGACAACUGGCUUCUUUUUCCAGAAAAAUAUUUCUCUUCUUAUUCCGGUUGCUCCCUGCUGUAAAUAAUAAAUGCCUCGCGAUCACUGUUGCCAGUAGAGAUAAUUAUGCAUUCUGAAAACUUUCUCCCCUUAUAACAUGCAAUUAUUUAUCAUUUGAAAACACUUAGACAAAUGUUAUAUCGGUCAAAAAUAUAGCUCUGGAUUCAUUUUGAUCAGAUAUUUGUUUUGAAGAAAACGUUUAGUUGAAACACCUUAAUAAAUUUUUUCUAAAACACUCAAUUUUGGGUAAUUAAUUCUUGCAGCUUUAUUAACUAAAGUAUUCAACAUAUUCUAUUUGAGAAAAAUAAUAACAUACAGAAGUAUCCAAAGAUUCGGUGCUAUUCUCAACCAACAUAAUCAAUAUUCUCGUCCAUAUCACACUUCGUGAUUUCAGGCUUUCUCAUUGUAUCAUCCAGUGAUUGUUAAAUGUACUCGUAUACUUUCCACAUUGACAAGACUUAAAAACAAAUUGAACUUAAAUCUUAUUGAAAUUAAUAAUUUUGAAAAGAUGAUCCGAAAAAUAAAAUAUCCAAUAUCAAGCUACACUGUUACCGACGAUACUGACAACACUUUUUCUACCACCCUGUAGUAAUAUUGAUUUCAACAACUUGUACCUGCUUAUGUCAAUUUCAACCAAUCACGAGCUGGUCCGAAAUUGGUCCUAAAAGUGGAUUAACAAUUGUCAGGUCCUGUCCUACACGCUGCCAAAAAAAACCCAACGGUUGACUUAAAUUCAUCUAACAUGAAGUAAUCAAGCAUGUUUUUAAUUGUUGGGUGAAAAGUACUGUAUCGGUUGAGUAGUUUUCACUCAACAGUGUAGUUUACUUCAAAAAGUUGCUGUUGGGUGAGAAAAUUUUGUGUGUUGCAUUGCAGAAACUAUCGGUCAGAUUUGAAGUGAGUGAAAUUAUUUUGUAAAAUUGCCGGUUUUGGGAGAAUAAUUCAAUGAUUGUCAUCAAUCGCAGUGUGAGUAGCUUUGUAUAAUUUCUUUUUAAAAUAAUAAUUACACCGCAAUAUCAUUUCAGGCGAUGGAAGAUAUUGAGAUGCGUUCGAUCGCUCAACGGUGCAGUUCCAGCAGCUGAAUAGAACAGCCUUGGUAGUUCAAUGAUAUAGUUACAUUGUUGAAAUAUGUAAAAAUAUUAAUAUUAAAUAAAUAAAGUAAUCAUAGUUGACUUUAUUGUUUGCGUUUUAUUUUUCAAACCAUCGAACGAAAACUGAAAUCAAAUUACCCAAGUUUAUUUUUAUAUCGCUUGCGUAGUUUCUACCUAAUCAGUACUAUUGAUGCUUUUACUCAAAAAUAAGUAAAACCCAUUUUACCCAAAAUUGGCUUCCUGCACACAACCCCUCUAUUGAGUGAAAAGUAUCUAAAAUUAGGUAAUUUUUUGGCAGCGUGUAGGUGUAAACUACGAUUGGCAUAUUGUCGCAAAACUGAAAUGUAGAGGCGCUGCUUGUUUAGAGAUGAUACUUUCAGCAAGAGCUGUCAAAUCGGUAGGAAAUUUUUAAUUACUCCACCUUUUCAACGAUUUCUUAUGAAAACGGGAAAAUUCAUUUAAAAAAUCAUAGUAGAAGUUGAAGAAAAAGUUUUUACUCUGAGGCGGUAAUGUUGAUCCUAGUUCAUUGUGCGAAAUCUACCGUUUAUUCAGAAUAGAGCAUUAAACAUGGUUCCAAACCAUUUUCCAAAUGCCUGGAAAUAACAAAUAAAGUAUCCAAAAUAAAUAGUACUCGAUCGCUAUGUAUUCUAGUACUCGAUAGAGGUGUGCAAAACAGCUCAUUUUGGUGAACAGCUCCGAACCGAUCAGCUCACCAAAGUGAAUCGAUUCGAUGUAUCAGCUCAUCAGCUUUUUUUAGUUUAAACUUAAGUUUCAUUUUGUGCGCCGUUUUUCUUAUGCACCGGUUUUCUUUCAUAUGCAUGAUCGAAAUUGAAUCAUUGAUUUGCAAUGAUGCAAUGAAUGCAAUGCGAAUUAACUUAUCUUUAAUUGAUGUCGACUAAAUUGAAUCUCUUAAAGAGCCGAAGAUCCGAUCAGCUCGUAGCGUGUUCCCUUCGUCAUAAUGCAGUGAACUGGGUAGCAAAUGAGUGAGCUGGUGAGCUGCGGUUCUUUUGAAAAGAGCUGUGAGCUGUCAGCUCACUUCAAUGAUUCGAUUCACUGGAACAGCUCAGGAGCGAAUUGCCCAUCUCUAGUACUCGAGAAACCGGUUUCCGUUUAAAAAAAUGUUGAUCCGAAAAAACCUAACCUUACCCAAUUUCACACAUUUCUGAAGAUUUUUCAUGUUUAAUCGUAGUUAGCACUAAAAAAAUAGUAGUGAUCACUUUGAAAUCGAUUUUCUUCUACUCCGAGUGUACUUUUAUUGCUAAUAUUUACUUGUACUCUUGAAUAAACGAUAAAAAUGUUGCAUAUGUCGAUAUGAAAGUUUUCGAAAGAAUCCUCCUUUUCUUGGUUCCAUUUUUCAUUGGCAGGUGUCGCUACCGGUAAAUCAGCUUUGCGACAAUUUGCCAAUUAAACAAGAAAUAUCUUCAGAAAUGUGUGAAAUUUGGUAAGGUACUAGAAUGUUCAGUGAUCGAGUACCAUUUAUUUUGGAUACUUUGUUAUUUCCGAGCAUUUGAAAAAUGGUAUUGAACCAAGUAUAAGGCUCCAUUCUAAAUAAGCGUUAGUUUUAGCACAAUAAAUUAAGAUCAACAUUACCACCUCAGAUUUUUGCUAGAAGUAUCAUCUCUAAACAAGCAGCGCCUCUACAUUUCAUUGUGCCAAUCCUUCUAUUUAGCUUCAUCAAAGGCGAGUAAACGAAAAUAUUUUAACUCUACGUUGCUUUGGUUUCAUAAGUUUUGUUAUUUUUCCAGCAGUAUAGUUGACCAUUACCAGAGUUGUUUUCCAACAUUCACAUUUCUGGAUUGACGAAAAUGAAUUGCAGCAGUAAUUCGAAUUAUGCCGAAAUUUGUUAUAGUACUAGCAUUGCCAGGAAAGGGAAAUAAAGAUAUAAAAAUGCGUGUCCUCGAACAUUUAACGGAGUGUUCCAUGUUAUUAUUUGCAUUUGGUACUACUGAACUGUUUUAAUCCAAUAUUCACCCGCACUAUCGAUGGAUUGUAUUUUAUACUGAUGCGGAAUAAAUUUACCAAACUAUCAUUACGAUAGUUACCAUUGAUUUGCAUUUCUUCUACUCGCCCGGAUCAGAGUCACUGCGGUAUCGGAAAGACCAAACGAAAAAAAAAAUGCAAUGGUUGUGCGGAUCCCGCGGGAGGGUAUUACACUUUGCCACUUUACCAUCGUUCUUCAACCGAUCCGAUUCUUCCGUACGUCGAAACACACGUCGGCGACGGGGAUGGCAACAAAGAAACGCGCACAUGUGAAAUGGAAUAUGAGCGAUAAACUAUACAUAAUGUUCCACCGGAGGCAUCUGGCAGUGUCGAGAAGAAGAAUCUGACCAUACACCAAUCGGUCGCAGCAAUCCCAGUGAAACCGUGGUCCAUUUUUAACCUGCC
This is an RNA transcript of Malaya genurostris, 4475 nucleotides long. It is a transcript of the gene named frizzled-3, with no coding region annotated. NCBI's taxonomy places the organism in Eukaryota, Metazoa, Arthropoda, Insecta, Diptera, Culicidae. The transcript is spliced from 5 exons. The record is from RefSeq and is a predicted model, not a curated record.